AUUGAACGCUGGCGGCAGGCCUAACACAUGCAAGUCGAGCGGAUGAAGGGAGCUUGCUCCUGGAUUCAGCGGCGGACGGGUGAGUAAUGCCUAGGAAUCUGCCUGGUAGUGGGGGAUAACGUCCGGAAACGGGCGCUAAUACCGCAUACGUCCUGAGGGAGAAAGUGGGGGAUCUUCGGACCUCACGCUAUCAGAUGAGCCUAGGUCGGAUUAGCUAGUUGGUGGGGUAAAGGCCUACCAAGGCGACGAUCCGUAACUGGUCUGAGAGGAUGAUCAGUCACACUGGAACUGAGACACGGUCCAGACUCCUACGGGAGGUAGCAGUGGGGAAUAUUGGACAAUGGGCGAAAGCCUGAUCCAGCCAUGCCGCGUGUGUGAAGAAGGUCUUCGGAUUGUAAAGCACUUUAAGUUGGGAGGAAGGGCAGUAAGUUAAGACCUUGCUGUUUUGACGUUACCAACAGAAUAAGCACCGGCUAACUUCGUG
RNAcentral lists this ribosomal RNA (484 nucleotides) under uncultured bacterium. RNAcentral describes it as "partial 16S ribosomal RNA". It matches the Rfam family "Bacterial small subunit ribosomal RNA", at positions 30 to 507 of the family's 1533-position model. The record is from RNAcentral.